UUAGCAAUAGAUGUUCUCUUGUACACACAAGCUACAUAAUGAUAUAACGCAAUUCCAAAAUUAAGAAACUACAAGAGAAUGCGCAUGAACAUGCAAGUUUUUUUUGGAAAAAAAUAGAAUAUUUUUCUUGGUGGCAUUCGACGAUGUUUGCCACAAAGAACGAAACGUAGUCAUUGCCUAUCAAAUUUGAUCAAAUUAUGAGAGAUAAACCUUUUGUAUUGCAGUCCGAG
Molecule: long non-coding RNA, 230 nt
Filed under: Linum usitatissimum (flax)
Lineage: Eukaryota; Viridiplantae; Streptophyta; Magnoliopsida; Malpighiales; Linaceae
Description: long non-coding RNA (LUSI_LNC000344)
Source: RNAcentral